AACUUCGUGCCAGCAGCCGCGGUAAUACGAAGGGACCUAGCGUAGUUCGGAAUUACUGGGCUUAAAGAGUUCGUAGGGGGUUGAAAAAGUUAGUGGUGAAAUCCCAGAGCUUAACUCUGGAACUGCCAUUAAAACUUUUCAGCUAGAGUAUGAUAGAGGAAAGCAGAAUUUCUAGUGUAGAGGUGAAAUUCGUAGAUAUUAGAAAGAAUACCAAUUGCGAAGGCAGCUUUCUGGAUCAUUACUGACACUGAGGAACGAAAGCAUGGGUAGCGAAGAGGAUUAGAUACCCUCGUAGUCCAUGCCGUAAACGAUGUGUGUUAGACGUUGGAAAUUUAUUUUCAGUGUCGCAGCGAAAGCGAUAAACACACCGCCUGGGGAGUACGACCGCAAGGUUAAAACUCAAAUGAAUUGACGGGG
This 417-nucleotide ribosomal RNA is filed under the name uncultured bacterium. Its description in RNAcentral is "bacterial SSU rRNA". It matches the Rfam family "Bacterial small subunit ribosomal RNA", at positions 499 to 918 of the family's 1533-position model. The record is from RNAcentral.